Triticum aestivum (bread wheat) is the source of this 124-nucleotide non-coding RNA. The record is from Rfam. Lineage: Eukaryota; Viridiplantae; Streptophyta; Magnoliopsida; Poales; Poaceae.
GAAAUACUUCCUCCCUCCGGAAAUAUUUGUCCUAGAAAUGAAUAAAAUGAAUGUGUCUAUAACUAAAAUAAGUCUAGAUACAACCAUUUCUAGGACAAGUAUUUUCGGACGGAGGGAGUACAUG